GGGGAGGUACCCGAGUGGCCAAAGGGGACAGACUGUAAAUCUGUUGGCAUAGCCUUCGGAGGUUCGAAUCCUCCUCUCCCCACCA
This 85-nucleotide transfer RNA is filed under the name Candidatus Scalindua sp. Its description in RNAcentral is "tRNA-Tyr". It matches the Rfam family "tRNA". Rfam says of the family: Transfer RNA (tRNA) molecules are approximately 80 nucleotides in length. Their secondary structure includes four short double-helical elements and three loops (D, anti-codon, and T loops). Further hydrogen bonds mediate the characteristic L-shaped molecular structure. tRNAs have two regions of fundamental functional importance: the anti-codon, which is responsible for specific mRNA codon recognition, and the 3' end, to which the tRNAs corresponding amino acid is attached (by aminoacyl-tRNA synthetases). tRNAs cope with the degeneracy of the genetic code in two manners: having more than one tRNA (with a specific anti-codon) for a particular amino acid; and 'wobble' base-pairing, i.e. permitting non-standard base-pairing at the 3rd anti-codon position. The record is from RNAcentral. RNAcentral also lists the same sequence under 1 other name. Lineage: Bacteria; Pseudomonadati; Planctomycetota; Candidatus Brocadiia; Candidatus Brocadiales; Candidatus Scalinduaceae.